AUGCAUUUGUUCAUUAAACAAUACGAGAAGCUUCAGUUUGAUAGGGACUCUGAGGAGAGUUUCCAGGAGAAAUAAACUGCUUUGAGUGGUGUUCUUUUGAAAGUAAAUCUCCCAAUUGAGAGGCACGCUAGCAAGAUUUACACAAGGGCAAUGUUUGAGCAAUUUGGCGGUGCUCUUUACAAGGCAGGGGCUUAUGAACUGGAUGUUGCUAUACCAAAGGUAUACAUUCUUACUCAUGUGGAUGCUCUCUCUCGUGAGAAAUGGAGCAAGGUCCAGUUCAAGGUUGAGGUUGAUGAUGAUCAAACCUUCUUCAACUGUGAGUGUGGUAUUUUCGACCAUUCUGGAAUGGUGUGCUGCCAUGCACUGAAGGUUAUCACCGAGCUCAAGUUGAGCAAGAUACCAGAAAAGCACAUAUUGAAGCGAUGGACUAGGGAUGCCCGUGAUAUCUUGCCUGAUCAUCUCGUUCGGUACCAGAAGGACAGAGGGCCACAUGGCUUUGACACUUACAUGCACAACACCAUGUACAUGAAGGCGCUGGAGUGUGUUCGACUUGGCGAUAGUAACGUGAAGUGCUAUGAUGUUUUCAUGGCAAUGAUGAAGGAGGUUCACACAACUCUUCUCCCACUAAGCUAUGCCAAAGAUGGUAUGGGGCUCGAGGAGCGAGAGGCUACGGAUCAGAUAGCCAAAGAAGGUAACCAUGGUAAGAUAAAUGUCGAGGCCAACAUCGAUAUAGAUGAGGGUGAUGCAGUGUCAAACUGUUCUGGUAUUGCCCCUGCGAAAGAAAUGCACCUGGCUGGCAGGCCAACCACAAGUAGAGAUAAGGCUCCAUAUGAAGAGAAACCGAAGAGGUCAAGGUUCUGUACGAUAUGCCGGCUUAAGGGGCACAAGAGCACAACAUGUCCAGAUAGGGGAGAUAUUCCAAAAGCUCCGAGGAAGAUUCCCAAGUGUGGCAAAUGUGGAGUGGUCGGACAUCGUCGAACUUCAUGCGGGAAGCUGGCAGAACCAUUUGUUCCUAAUUUCCUGUAG
Molecule: ribosomal RNA, 1026 nt
Filed under: Triticum aestivum (bread wheat)
Lineage: Eukaryota; Viridiplantae; Streptophyta; Magnoliopsida; Poales; Poaceae
Description: partial small subunit ribosomal RNA
Source: RNAcentral